This 533-nucleotide ribosomal RNA is filed under the name Leptarma tarantula. RNAcentral's name for it is "partial large subunit ribosomal RNA". Lineage: Eukaryota; Metazoa; Arthropoda; Malacostraca; Decapoda; Sesarmidae. The record is from RNAcentral.
GUCUAUUUGAAGAUAUAAAAAGUCUGACCUGCCCACUGAUAAAUAAUUUUUAAUGGCCGCAGUAUUUUGACUGUGCAAAGGUAGCAUAAUCGUUAGUUUUUUAAUUGAAAUCUUGUAUGAAUGGUUUGACAAAAAAAAAUCUGUCUUUAUGAUUAUUUAUUGAAUUUAACUUUUAAGUGAAAAGGCUUAAAUAAAUUAAAAAGACGAUAAGACCCUAUAAAACUUAAUAUUAAUUUUUUAUUUUAAUAAAAUUUUUAGUAAUAUAAAUAUUUAGUAAUUAGUUUUAUUUUAUUGGGGUGAUAAUGGUAAAAUGAUUAUUAACUGUUAAUUGUAUUUAUAACAAAUAUAAGUGAAUAAAAUAAGUAUAUUGAUUUAUAAAUGGUCCUAUAUAAAGAUUAAAAGUUUAAGUUACUUUAGGGAUAACAGCGUCAUUUUUUUUGAGAGUUCUUAUCGAAAAAAAAGUUUGCGACCUCGAUGUUGAAUUAAAAUAUCUGUAUAAUUGUAGCAGUUAUAUAAGAAAGGUCUGUUCGACC